AUACUUUGAUUAAAACUAAUUAUAACUUUGAGUAAGAUACUUAAAUAGGCUCUAAAGAUUCGACUCUGGUUAAUUCAUUAGCCAGAUUAUUUUGAGAACGUCUAAAAACGGUCAUCACACCCUGAUUUCUUAUGAUGUAAUAAAUGACCAUAUUGCCCCGGCCAGGGACCUUUAAAAAAAUAAAAAAAUAAGAUAUUUAAUAAAUGACUAGUUUAGUAAACGCUCACGAAGACUGAAAACAAGUUUCAACAUGUAAAUUAUAAAAUAUCUAUCUUAAAACCAAG
RNAcentral lists this long non-coding RNA (284 nucleotides) under Linum usitatissimum (flax). RNAcentral's name for it is "long non-coding RNA (LUSI_LNC005200)". Lineage: Eukaryota; Viridiplantae; Streptophyta; Magnoliopsida; Malpighiales; Linaceae. The record is from RNAcentral.